UCAGUGACUUUUUAAUAAAAAAUUUGCAUUAUCUUGCUUUUUCAGUUCUCUUUCCGAUAAAAAUACACGAAUAAUGAAGAAAAUCACUGAAAUAAUGAGAAUAAAUAAAAUAAAUUAAUAAAAAAAUAAUGCAAGC
Molecule: non-coding RNA, 136 nt
Organism: Caenorhabditis elegans
Lineage: Eukaryota; Metazoa; Nematoda; Chromadorea; Rhabditida; Rhabditidae
Source: Ensembl